This 2613-nucleotide ribosomal RNA is filed under the name Staphylococcus aureus. RNAcentral's name for it is "23S ribosomal RNA". It matches the Rfam family "Bacterial large subunit ribosomal RNA". Lineage: Bacteria; Bacillati; Bacillota; Bacilli; Caryophanales; Staphylococcaceae. The record is from RNAcentral.
GAUUAAGUUAUUAAGGGCGCACGGUGGAUGCCUUGGCACUAGAAGCCGAUGAAGGACGUUACUAACGACGAUAUGCUUUGGGGAGCUGUAAGUAAGCUUUGAUCCAGAGAUUUCCGAAUGGGGAAACCCAGCAUGAGUUAUGUCAUGUUAUCGAUAUGUGAAUACAUAGCAUAUCAGAAGGCACACCCGGAGAACUGAAACAUCUUAGUACCCGGAGGAAGAGAAAGAAAAUUCGAUUCCCUUAGUAGCGGCGAGCGAAACGGGAAGAGCCCAAACCAACAAGCUUGCUUGUUGGGGUUGUAGGACACUCUAUACGGAGUUACAAAGGACGACAUUAGACGAAUCAUCUGGAAAGAUGAAUCAAAGAAGGUAAUAAUCCUGUAGUCGAAAAUGUUGUCUCUCUUGAGUGGAUCCUGAGUACGACGGAGCACGUGAAAUUCCGUCGGAAUCUGGGAGGACCAUCUCCUAAGGCUAAAUACUCUCUAGUGACCGAUAGUGAACCAGUACCGUGAGGGAAAGGUGAAAAGCACCCCGGAAGGGGAGUGAAAUAGAACCUGAAACCGUGUGCUUACAAGUAGUCAGAGCCCGUUAAUGGGUGAUGGCGUGCCUUUUGUAGAAUGAACCGGCGAGUUACGAUUUGAUGCAAGGUUAAGCAGUAAAUGUGGAGCCGUAGCGAAAGCGAGUCUGAAUAGGGCGUUUAGUAUUUGGUCGUAGACCCGAAACCAGGUGAUCUACCCUUGGUCAGGUUGAAGUUCAGGUAACACUGAAUGGAGGACCGAACCGACUUACGUUGAAAAGUGCGGGGAUGAGGUGUGGGUAGCGGAGAAAUUCCAAUCGAACCUGGAGAUAGCUGGUUCUCUCCGAAAUAGCUUUAGGGCUAGCCUCAAGUGAUGAUUAUUGGAGGUAGAGCACUGUUUGGACGAGGGGCCCCUCUCGGGUUACCGAAUUCAGACAAACUCCGAAUGCCAAUUAAUUUAACUUGGGAGUCAGAACAUGGGUGAUAAGGUCCGUGUUCGAAAGGGAAACAGCCCAGACCGCCAGCUAAGGUCCCAAAGUGUGUAUUAAGUGGAAAAGGAUGUGGAGUUGCUUAGACAACUAGGAUGUUGGCUUAGAAGCAGCCACCAUUUAAAGAGUGCGUAAUAGCUCACUAGUCGAGUGGGACGCAGUAGGAUAGGCGAAGCGUGCGAUUGGAUUGCACGUCUAAGCAGUAAGGCUGAGUAUUAGGCAAAUCCGGUACUCGUUAAGGCUGAGCUGUGAUGGGGAGAAGACAUUGAGUCUUCGAGUCGUUGAUUUCACACUGCCGAGAAAAGCCUCUAGAUAGAAAAUAGGUGCCCGUACCGCAAACCGACACAGGUAGUCAAGAUGAGAAUUCUAAGGUGAGCGAGCGAACUCUCGUUAAGGAACUCGGCAAAAUGACCCCGUAACUUCGGGAGAAGGGGUGCUCUUUAGGGUUAACGCCCAGAAGAGCCGCAGUGAAUAGGCCCAAGCGACUGUUUAUCAAAAACACAGGUCUCUGCUAAACCGUAAGGUGAUGUAUAGGGGCUGACGCCUGCCCGGUGCUGGAAGGUUAAGAGGAGUGGUUAGCUUCUGCGAAGCUACGAAUCGAAGCCCCAGUAAACGGCGGCCGUAACUAUAACGGUCCUAAGGUAGCGAAAUUCCUUGUCGGGUAAGUUCCGACCCGCACGAAAGGCGUAACGAUUUGGGCACUGUCUCAACGAGAGACUCGGUGAAAUCAUAGUACCUGUGAAGAUGCAGGUUACCCGCGACAGGACGGAAAGACCCCGUGGAGCUUUACUGUAGCCUGAUAUUGAAAUUCGGUACAACUUGUACAGGAUAGGUAGGAGCCUUUGAAACGUGAGCGCUAGCUUACGUGGAGGCGCUGGUGGGAUACUACCCUAGCUGUGUUGGCUUUCUAACCCGCACCACUUAUCGUGGUGGGAGACAGUGUCAGGCGGGCAGUUUGACUGGGGCGGUCGCCUCCUAAAAGGUAACGGAGGCGCUCAAAGGUUCUCUCAGAACGGUUGGAAAUCAUUCGUAGAGUGUAAAGGCAUAAGGGAGCUUGACUGCGAGACCUACAAGUCGAGCAGGGUCGAAAGACGGACUUAGUGAUCCGGUGGUUCCGCAUGGAAGGGCCAUCGCUCAACGGAUAAAAGCUACCCCGGGGAUAACAGGCUUAUCUCCCCCAAGAGUCCACAUCGACGGGGAGGUUUGGCACCUCGAUGUCGGCUCAUCGCAUCCUGGGGCUGUAGUCGGUCCCAAGGGUUGGGCUGUUCGCCCAUUAAAGCGGUACGCGAGCUGGGUUCAGAACGUCGUGAGACAGUUCGGUCCCUAUCCGUCGUGGGCGUAGGAAAUUUGAGAGGAGCUGUCCUUAGUACGAGAGGACCGGGAUGGACAUACCUCUGGUGUACCAGUUGUUCUGCCAACGGCAUAGCUGGGUAGCUAUGUGUGGACGGGAUAAGUGCUGAAAGCAUCUAAGCAUGAAGCCCCCCUCAAGAUGAGAUUUCCCAGCGUAAGCUAUAAGAUCCCUGAAAGAUGAUCAGGUUGAUAGGUUCGAGGUGGAAGCAUGGUGACAUGUGGAGCUGACGAAUACUAAUAGAUCGAAGACUUAAUCAA